AGAAGCUUAGGUUAACUAUAAACCUAGGACCUUCAAAGUCCUAAACAGAGACACACCCUCUAGCUCCUG
This 69-nucleotide transfer RNA is filed under the name Pachydactylus caraculicus. RNAcentral describes it as "tRNA-Trp". The record is from RNAcentral. Lineage: Eukaryota; Metazoa; Chordata; Lepidosauria; Squamata; Gekkonidae. RNAcentral also lists the same sequence under 1 other name.